Molecule: long non-coding RNA, 316 nt
Organism: Rhipicephalus sanguineus (brown dog tick)
Lineage: Eukaryota; Metazoa; Arthropoda; Arachnida; Ixodida; Ixodidae
Exons: 3
Source: RefSeq, a predicted model, not a curated record
UGUGAGCGUGUUCGCGUUGGUUUCAUGAUGGUCUGGAGACUCAAGCGAGCUUGCACCUUCGUGUAUGCGUGUUCGGCCAGCACCUGGUUAGGCACAGUCGGAAAUGCGAACGAUGGUGCUCAAGAUGGCACAUGCAACGCUAUGCAGCUGUGGACACCAGCAGCUUGAUAAGAACUCUCGAAGCUCAUCUGGAUGCUUCACAGAACCUGGGAAGACUGAACACUUUUGGCAAAGCAGCAACAGUUCUGGCCCAUCUGUUUGUCUACAAGACGGUCUCUUCCGUGAACACUCCUGUGCCUUACAGUAUACUAUACUG